GUGCUCACUUUAGCAGCACAUAUACUGAAAUUGGAACAAUACGGAGAUUAGCAUGGCCCCUUGGCAAGGAUCAUAUGCAAAUCUGUGAAGUGUUCCAUAUUUUU
Molecule: small nuclear RNA, 104 nt
Organism: Saimiri boliviensis boliviensis (Bolivian squirrel monkey)
Lineage: Eukaryota; Metazoa; Chordata; Mammalia; Primates; Cebidae
Source: Ensembl